GACGAACGCUGGCGGCGUGCUUAACACAUGCAAGUCGAACGGUGAAGCUCCAGCUUGCUGGAGUGGAUCAGUGGCGAACGGGUGAGUAACACGUGAGCAACCUGCCCCUGACUCUGGAAUAAGCGCUGGAAACGGCGUCUAAUACUGGAUACGAGAAGGGCCCGCAUGGGCACUUUCUGGAAAGUUUUUCGGUUGGGGAUGGGCUCGCGGCCUAUCAGCUUGCUGGUGAGGUAAUGGCUCACCAAGGCGACGACGGGUAGCCGGCCUGAGAGGGCGACCGGCCACACUGGGACUGAGACACGGCCCAGACUCCUACGGGAGGCAGCAGUGGGGAAUAUUGCACAAUGGGCGAAAGCCUGAUGCAGCGACGCCGCGUGAGGGAUGACGGCCUUCGGGUUGUAAACCUCUUUCAGCAGGGAAGAAGCGAAAGUGACGGUACCUGCAGAAGAAGCACCGGCUAACUACGUG
Molecule: ribosomal RNA, 468 nt
Filed under: uncultured bacterium
Lineage: Bacteria
Description: partial 16S ribosomal RNA
Rfam family: Bacterial small subunit ribosomal RNA
Source: RNAcentral